AAAAUAAACUAUGGAAGCAACAAGAGUAUCAAGAUUCAAGAACAAGACAUAACCUCAAAUCAGUUAACUUAAGUGUGCUGAUAUUUUGUUUAGUGUGUGGUGUGUGUCACUGUUAGUUUAGAGUUGUUAUUUUUGUGACUGGGUAUUGGCAUAACCUACACCGAACAUCUUUUCACGUUUUGAUCCUUGGAGUAUUUGAUAACUCUGCAGCUUUGGUGGAAGUUAUUAUUUGGUAGCAGUGAAUAAUUUGCCUACGGUACCAAUUCUCCCGAGUGACAAAGUGGCUGUCUAGCAGCCUGUAGGCUGGGAAGGAGGAAUAAAUUUUUCUUUUGCAAUCUGCAUCUGAAGCCAGCUAUCUUGCAGGCAGAACCGGUACGCAAGAACACUAGGAUCGUGGUGUAAUGGAAAUAUAUGUUGUUGCUA
Macrosteles quadrilineatus (aster leafhopper) is the source of this 423-nucleotide long non-coding RNA. RefSeq lists it as uncharacterized. The record is from RefSeq and is a predicted model, not a curated record. The transcript has 3 exons. Lineage: Eukaryota; Metazoa; Arthropoda; Insecta; Hemiptera; Cicadellidae.